This 29-nucleotide non-coding RNA is filed under the name Cricetulus griseus (Chinese hamster). The record is from RNAcentral. Lineage: Eukaryota; Metazoa; Chordata; Mammalia; Rodentia; Cricetidae.
GGGGCUGGAGAGAUGGCUCAGGGCUUAAG